Molecule: transfer RNA, 67 nt
Filed under: Lepidurus couesii
Lineage: Eukaryota; Metazoa; Arthropoda; Branchiopoda; Notostraca; Triopsidae
Description: tRNA-Glu
Rfam family: tRNA
About the family: Transfer RNA (tRNA) molecules are approximately 80 nucleotides in length. Their secondary structure includes four short double-helical elements and three loops (D, anti-codon, and T loops).
Source: RNAcentral
ACCACUAUAGUUUAUUUAAAACAUUACAUUUUCAUUGUAAAAAUAAAAUUUUUAAUUUUUAGUAGUA